Homo sapiens (human) is the source of this 3080-nucleotide long non-coding RNA. The record is from Ensembl. NCBI's taxonomy places the organism in Eukaryota, Metazoa, Chordata, Mammalia, Primates, Hominidae.
UCUGCGCCCCCGCCCUGCCCUGCGAGGCCGCCGCCGCGCGCCCCACCGUCUGUUGCAGUGGAGCGUGAGCCGCGGCUGCGGCUCCUGGUUCUUGUGGAAGGUACCCUUGGAGGGACUGAGAUCCUAGGGAUUGCUGGAGCCUGGCUGCAUGGCCUGGCCACCCUGAUGCCCUUGCGUUCUCCGUGACAGGACAGCAAGGCUGAGGAGAAUGGCUCCCACAGCUUCAUGCACUCCAUGGACCCACAGCUGGAGCGGCAAAUGGAAACCACCCAGAACCUGGUGGACUCCUACAUGGCCAUUGUCAACAAGACCGUGUGGGACCUCAUGGUUGGUGCGAAGCCCAAGACCACCAUGCAUAUCAUGAUCUACAAUGUGCAUGCACCGCCUCAUGGGGACCAAGGAGUUCAUCUUCUCGGAGCUGCUGUCCAACCUGCGCUCGCGUGGGAACGAGAAGACACUCAUGGAGGAGUCGGCAGAGUAGGCACAGCGGCGCGACGAGAUGCUGCUUCUCAGAGCUGCUGUCCAACCUGCACUCGCUUGGGAACCAGAAGACACUCGUGGAGGAGUCGGCAGAGCAGGCACAGCGGCGCGACGAGACUCGCGUGGGAAGAAAUAGACACUCCUGGAGGAGUCGGCAGAGCAGGCACAGCGGCGCGACGAGACUCGCGUGGGAACGAGAAGACACUCCUGGAGGAGUCGGCAGAGCAGGCAGACCAAGGAGUUCAUCUUCUCGGAGCUGCUGUCCAACCUGCACUCGCGUAGGGACAAGAAGACACUCCUGCAGGAGUCGGCGGAGCAGGCAGACCAAGGAGUUCAUCUUCUCAGAGCUGCUGUCCAACCUGCACUCGCGUGGGAACGAGAAGACACUCCUGGAGGAGUCGGCGGAGCAGGCACAGCGGCGCGACGAGAUGCUGCGCAUGCACCACGUGCUGAAAGAGGCUCUCAGCAUCAUCGGCAACAUCAACACGAACACCGUCAGCACAGCUACGGGGGCCCGUGGACGACGCCUAGCUGCAGCAGCCAAGCCCAGCAAAAGAAUGGCAUACGGGAGUUGCUGCACAAGCCUGGGUGCUCCACGCUGUCAGUGAGGCUCACCUCACAAAGAUCUUUGGAGAGAAGGAGGUGGGGAUCCGAGUGCAGUGAGAGCCUCCCCUGCCCCUGCCUGCCCACCCUGCCUGAGGACUCUACUCACCACCAUGCUUAUCAGCACCCACAAGCUCCUGGGGGGCUGGGGCUCCUGGACCAGGCUCAUCAGCAAGCUUCAGGGCAGUGGCCGGGAAUUUGCUGUGUCCCUCGUUGUAGUCACCACAAGCCGCAACAUCUUCUCCAGCAGCUCCAGCAGCUUCACCUGGAGGGAGGGGUGCUCAGCUGUUAUGCAUCUACCGGCGCCCACCCUCACGCCCACCCCCACCCCUGCAGAGAUGUUGCACACCCUACCUUCAUCUCCUCCAUGUCCUGGGCCAGCCUGAUGAUGUCCUCCUCCAGUUGCCGCAUCUUUGGCACUGCCCCCUGGCUGUGUUCUAGGGUGAUGAACUUUCCUGCAGGAGGACAGGGCUCAGACGCUGAGGUCCCUCCGACGGCCCUGCAGCUCCCCCUGCCGUGCCCUGGCCUCCCACUAACUGAUGACUUCUGUCUUUCCAGUACUGGAUGAAUCGAAGUUCUAGUUUCUCCGCUCGCUCCCUCAGGUCCACCUUCUCCUCCAGGAGGUCCAUAAGGCCACUCUGGAGCCAAAAUAAUGGGGUCACAUCUCGGCAGCAACACCCACCCCUGCCCUUCUUGGCCCAUGCCAGGACUCAGUCACCUCCAGCUUCUCCAUGACCUCCUGCAUGGCCCGGUGGGUCUCCCCACUCACAGACUGGCCCCUAGUCACUGGGGCUGGGACCGCUGCCUCUGGCUUCUGCUGGGCCGAGGCCACCAGGUGAGCCAUGCGCUGGCAGCACACCCUCUGCUCUUUCACCUGCUCUCAUAACCGUGCCUGCUCCUCCUGGGCAUUGGCUCCAGCGGAGUUGAAAAAUGCAACCUGAGGGCAAGAGGUGAGCAUUCUUGUAGGGGCAUACACAGAACGAACGGGGCAGAGAGGUGGAGUGCAGCCUCUUCCCUUGGGGCCUCAGAGAGUGCAUCUGUUGGUCACAGGUGAAAUGGUGUCUGACCACUGGCUCCUGGAAGGGAUGAGGGUCCAGAGAAAUCAGAAGGCAGGGAAACCAAGAGCAUAAAGGGGUCUUGGAGGGACCACAGAGGAAGGUGGCAAAAUGGGUACAGGGGGAGUCAGGCUCACCGUGGCCUCCCAGCUCUCCAGGUCCUCUGGGUUGCUUGGCAUGGGCCGAGGUGCCUCCUCCUCACUGUCCAGAUGUCCUCCUCUAUCUCCUGUGGGGGGUGGCCAGAAGGGUCCUCAGACAGCCCAAUAAGGGAGGUACUGUGGGCCCACCUCUGCCUCCACCCUCACUGUGUAACACUGAGCCAGCCACUACCCAGAGAGCAGCUGCUGUUCUUUAUUUUUACUUUUAAGAACCAAGAUCAGGCAUAGUCCCACUACCAGUCGAUGUGGGAGUUCUGACCCGCUCCCUUUCUGACCUGGGCCAGUUCAGCCAUCCUUAGGCAACUUGGUGGCCCCCCGCUCCCAGGAGGACAUCAUAUUGAUGCCAAACUUAGUGCGGGCACCCGGUCGGCAUAGGGACCAGCUGUUCUAAAGGUCUCUUCCAACCUUUGCCUUUUUCUUUGCUGCGGCCAAUUUGCUCUGUUGAGUUUCUUCUGCCAUUGCGGGGUGGGGAGGGAGGCGGGGUUGGGGCCACGUGAGCAAAAUCCCAGUGAGCACUGAUGAACACCUCCACUUGCCUACCAGGCAGCUGUGUGACUGAGCCCGAGGAGGCACAACUAGGGCCCCCAUAGAAUGCAGAACAGGGGCGUGGCCUUAAUGCUCCAAGCCCAUUGGUCAAUGACAAAGAUGAAAGGGAAAGGGGGUGUGGCCAGGCAGCAGUAUGUCCAGAGGGACCUGUGGCUCACAAGGAAAGCUGUCCAUGCAACUGCUGUCCCCGCCUACUCUGAGGGGAGGGGCCGCCCCCUCUGGGAGAGGGGAGGGGCCG